AUUCCGUGCUGUGGGCAUUUCCUCAACAUCUCCUUAUACCUUUUCCCAUGUAUCGUAUAAGGAUUCAGAUUCCAAUUGGAGGAAGGAAGUGAUGUCACUUCUGAGUUU
This is a small nucleolar RNA of Dioscorea cayenensis subsp. rotundata (Guinea yam), 108 nucleotides long. NCBI's taxonomy places the organism in Eukaryota, Viridiplantae, Streptophyta, Magnoliopsida, Dioscoreales, Dioscoreaceae. The record is from RefSeq and is a predicted model, not a curated record.